CUCCAGAAACCAAAUUUUGACCUGCUUUGCACUUCAAACAAUAGCUUCUGUUAUGUAAAUAGUUGUGGGGUUUUCAAGGAUAAUGUUGCUAAAUUACAAGGAAAGUUCUAUACAUGAGAAAGCUCUUCGUGGAUAAACAUUAGAGGCAGGAAAUCUGAUCUACACAACACCCAAAGCAGAAGACAAUGGAAGUAAUGAUGGUUCAGGAAUCCCUUUAACUCCCUGACACCUUAGUCGGCCUUCUUUGAGAUUCCUUCUGGAUGGAUGGCCCCCGCACCCCACACCGAGUUCCCGCACCCAGAGCUACACCGAAUGCUUCUGUAAAGAGAAGAGAAGACAUGGAAGGAGACACACUGAAGAAGGCCGUGGAAAGACAGAAACAGAG
Molecule: long non-coding RNA, 385 nt
Organism: Camelus dromedarius (Arabian camel)
Lineage: Eukaryota; Metazoa; Chordata; Mammalia; Artiodactyla; Camelidae
Exons: 3
Source: RefSeq, a predicted model, not a curated record